This 606-nucleotide long non-coding RNA is filed under the name Physcomitrium patens. RNAcentral's name for it is "long non-coding RNA (PPAT_LNC013664)". Lineage: Eukaryota; Viridiplantae; Streptophyta; Bryopsida; Funariales; Funariaceae. The record is from RNAcentral.
UGAAUUGGGUCUGUUAGUAUCACAAAUGACUAUACUCUAGCUAUCUGAAAUCAAUUAUUAAACUAAAAAAUACUAAGGCUUACUACUUCCAUCUUAAUUCAAUACUUAAUCCAUUCUAUGAAUAUCAAUUCAACAAUACUUCUAUAUUUUUAUCAGUUCAUCUCCCACUUACUCUCUUUGCGGCUUAUAUAUAUUCAAUUACUAAUCUCUUACUUAUUAUAUUCAAUUUCUCAAUUCAUCACACAAAAUUCAAUAUCUUCACUUAACACAACACAAUUCGAUAAUCUCAAUUUUCAAGGUCACAGAUUUUUUCCAAAACGGUCAGUCCAAAGUCAUAUUCUAUAAUAUUCUAAUCACAGUUUCAACAAUAUUUCUCUCAAUUACAAUUCUUCAUAAAAAAAUAAUAAAAGCAAAGAAAACAAAGAGGUAGUAUCAAGCUUAUUUUGGCUUACGACUUUCAUAGUCUCAUCCCAAUCUUCUUUUUUUCAACCUCUUUAUCCUACUUAAAGAUGGGCCGUCGACUAAUAGAUUCCAAAGGUUAUGAACCUUUAAAUUCUUAACCAUUUAUUCUACUAACAACCUACUGUUAUCAACUAAACUGCCUAA